CCUACGGGUGGCAGCAGUGAGGAAUAUUGGUCAAUGGUCGGGAGACUGAACCAGCCAAGCCGCGUGAGGGAUGAAGGUACAGAGUAUCGUAAACCUCUUUUGUCAGGGAACAAAUGCGGGGACGUGUCCCCGGAGCAGUGUACCACAAGAAAAAGCAUCGGGUAACUCCGCGCCAGCAGCCGCGGUAAUCCGGAGGAGGCGAGCGUUAUCCGGAUUUAGGGGGGUUAAGGGGUGCGCAGUGGGUCUGUUAAGUCAGCGGUAAAAGCCCGGGGCUAAACUCCGGCCCGCCGUUGAAACUGGGAGUCUCGAGUUGGAGAGAAGUAUGCGGAAUGCGCGGUGUAGCGGUGAAAUGCAUAGAUAUAAGGAAGAACACCAGUGGCGAAGGCGGAUUACUGGAAGAUAACUGACGGUGAGGCGCGAAAGCGUGGGGAGCAAACAGGAUUAGAUACCCUUGUAGUC
This 459-nucleotide ribosomal RNA is filed under the name uncultured bacterium. RNAcentral describes it as "partial 16S ribosomal RNA". It matches the Rfam family "Bacterial small subunit ribosomal RNA", at positions 338 to 795 of the family's 1533-position model. The record is from RNAcentral.